AUUGAACGCUGGCGGCAUGCUUUACACAUGCAAGUCGAGCGGCAGCGCGGGGGCAACCCUGGCGGCGAGCGGCGAACGGGUGAGUAAUGCAUCGGAACGUACCCUGGAGUGGGGGAUAACGCCGCGAAAGCGGCGCUAAUACCGCAUAUGCUCUGAGGAGGAAAGUGGGGGACCUGCAAGGGCCUCACGCUCUGGGAGCGGCCGAUGUCCGAUUAGCUAGUUGGUGGGGUAAAGGCUUACCAAGGCGACGAUCGGUAGCUGGUCUGAGAGGAUGAUCAGCCACACUGGGACUGAGACACGGCCCAGACUCCUACGGGAGGCAGCAGUGGGGAAUUUUGGACAAUGGGGCAACCCUGAUCCAGCCAUGCCGCGUGAGUGAAGAA
RNAcentral lists this ribosomal RNA (383 nucleotides) under uncultured bacterium. Its description in RNAcentral is "bacterial SSU rRNA". It matches the Rfam family "Bacterial small subunit ribosomal RNA", at positions 29 to 412 of the family's 1533-position model. The record is from RNAcentral.